GUCGCACGAGAAAGCCCCUUUCGGGGGGCGAGUAAAGUGGCGCACGGGUGAGUAACGCGUGGAUAAUCUACCUCGUUCUGGGGGAUAACCCACCGAAAGGUGGGCUAAUACCGCAUAAUCCGGCUGAUUCUUGGAUUGGUCGGCAAAGGUGGCCUCUUGAUCAAAGCUACCGGGAAGAGAUGAGUCCGCGUCCCAUUAGCUAGUUGGUAGGGUAACGGCCUACCAAGGCGACGAUGGGUAGCUGGUCUGAGAGGACGAUCAGCCACACUGGAACUGGUACACGGUCCAGACUCCUACGGGAGGCAGCAGUGGGGAAUAUUGGGCAAUGGGCGAAAGCCUGACCCAGCGACGCCGCGUGGGCGAUGAAGGCCUUCGGGUUGUAAAGCCCUGUCAUGCGGAAAGAACGACCCUGAGACGCAUACUCUCAGGGAGUGACGGUACCGCAGGAGGAAGCACCGGCUAACUCCGUGCCAGCAGCCGCGGUAAUACGGAGGGUGCAAACGUUGUUCGGAAUUAUUGGGCGUAAAGGGCGCGUAGGCGGUAAUGUAAGUCAGAUGUGAAAUACUCCGGCUCAACUGGAGAACUGCAUCUGAAACUACAUAACUAGAGUACAGAAGAGGGAAACGGAAUUCCCGGUGUAGAGGUGAAAUUCGUAGAUAUCGGGAGGAACACCAGUGGCGAAGGCGGUUUCCUGGUCUGAUACUGACGCUGAGGCGCGAAAGUGUGGGGAGCAAACAGGAUUAGAUACCCUGGUAGUCCACACUGUAAACGGUGAACACUAGGUGUGGGAGGUGUAAUACCUUCCGUGCCGUAGCUAACGCGUUAAGUGUUCCGCCUGGGAAGUACGGCCGCAAGGUUGAAACUCAAAUGAAUUGACGGG
Molecule: ribosomal RNA, 880 nt
Filed under: uncultured bacterium
Lineage: Bacteria
Description: bacterial SSU rRNA
Rfam family: Bacterial small subunit ribosomal RNA
Source: RNAcentral